AUGGCACGCGUCCUCCCUCUGGAUAUCGAGCCCGGGGAGGCGCACAGAGCUGGUGAGACGGUUGCUAGCACGCCAAGCUCUUCAGCUGUGGUGUCAUGCAAUAGAAUUGAGCAUUCUGAGCAAAACAUAAAGGACGACGAAUACGCGAUGCUGAUGACGCCAGCUCAACAUGCAACGGCUGACAACAACACAGAAAUUUUACCUCAGCAACCCAAGUCAAGUCACUUCAGUUGGUGGAUGACAGCUCUGCUUGUCUGCUUCCUUCUUAUAAUGGCAACUUAUAUCUUUGUGAAAUUUGGAGCCCCCUUUGCCUUUGAGAAGAUUCUUUUUCCAAUCAUGAAAUGGGAAGCAAGUGCCUUUGGCCGUCCAGUAUUGGCUCUUGUCCUCGUCGCAUCUUUGGCUCUCUUCCCACUCAUUUUAGUCCCCUCUGGACCUUCUAUGUGGUUAGCAGGAAUGAUCUUCGGUUAUGGCUGGGGUUUCGUGAUUAUUAUUGUUGGGACUACUCUUGGCAUGGUUGGGGCAUAUUGGAUCGGCUCAUUGUUCCGCGAGCGACUACAUGCAUGGUUAAAGAGAUGGCCUCAGCAGAUAGCUCUAAUAAAGCUUGCUGGCGAAGGGAGUUGGUUCCACCAGUUUCGAGUGGUUGCACUAUUCAGAGUCUCACCGUUUCCAUACUCGAUUUUUAACUAUGCCGUGGCUGUGACAGAAAUCAAAUUCAGCCCUUAUGUAUGUGGUUCAGUUGCCGGAAUGACACCUGAGGCAUUCAUCUAUAUCUAUAGCGGGCGGUUGAUACGUACGUUGGCCGAUGUGAAGUAUGGCAAGCAUAAGUUGACUACAGUGGAGAUAGUCUACAGCAUAAUCUCGUUCGUCGCUGCCGCUGCCCUCACGGCCGCCUUCACAGUUUACGCCAAGAAGUCGCUAAACAACAUAAAAGGCCCAGAUGAUAUCUCAGAGGACCACCAACCUGCUGCUGGCUCUGCUGGGGUGACUGCACUAAAAAAUGGCCAUCAGGACGUGCAUAUCCUGUAG
This 1026-nucleotide ribosomal RNA is filed under the name Triticum aestivum (bread wheat). Its description in RNAcentral is "partial small subunit ribosomal RNA". The record is from RNAcentral. Lineage: Eukaryota; Viridiplantae; Streptophyta; Magnoliopsida; Poales; Poaceae.